CCGAUUUGGUGGCAUAAAGUCCAAAAUUUCAUGGAAGAAAAUCUGAAUUUUUUUUUUAUAUAUUUAAACUAGAUACCCUAGAUAGAAAGUAUCAAUAAAUAUUUUUGUCAAAAAUGCAACCUUGCAAUUUUUACAGAUGUUUAAAGUCAGGUGAUUGAGCAGCUGAUUUUUGUGACAAAAUUGGCGGGAAAUUUUUAAUAACUUUGAGCGCUUGGCAAAUCUAAACUAAACAAUAUUUUUCUAUUAUUUAAAAUGGAUAUUGAAGUUGGAGGAAAUCAAAAAGCUGACAAAAGUGUUCGUCUUCUGUAGAGGAAAAAAAGGUGUUCUGCGUAUUUGUGCGUUGUUUAAUAUGUGCUUGAAUUCUGUCACGCCACGUUGCUGGACGUGUGGAUGGACAGCGGGCGCCACUCUUCCGC
Molecule: long non-coding RNA, 416 nt
Organism: Drosophila albomicans
Lineage: Eukaryota; Metazoa; Arthropoda; Insecta; Diptera; Drosophilidae
Exons: 3
Source: RefSeq, a predicted model, not a curated record